AUACGGAGGGGGCUAGCGUUGUUCGGAAUUACUGGGCGUAAAGCGCGCGUAGGCGGCUUAUCAAGUUAGGCGUGAAAGGCCUGGGCUCAACCCGGGAAUUGCGCUUAAUACUGGUAGACUUGAGUCCGGGAGAGGGUGGCGGAAUUCCCAGUGUAGAGGUGAAAUUCGUAGAUAUUGGGAAGAACACCAGUGGCGAAGGCGGCCACCUGGCCCGGUACUGACGCUGAGGUGCGAAAGCGUGGGGAGCAAACAGGAUUAGAAACCCGAGUAGUCC
RNAcentral lists this ribosomal RNA (274 nucleotides) under uncultured bacterium. Its description in RNAcentral is "partial 16S ribosomal RNA". It matches the Rfam family "Bacterial small subunit ribosomal RNA", at positions 523 to 796 of the family's 1533-position model. The record is from RNAcentral.